Oryza sativa Japonica Group (Japanese rice) is the source of this 205-nucleotide microRNA precursor. It matches the Rfam family "MIR812 microRNA precursor family". The record is from Rfam. NCBI's taxonomy places the organism in Eukaryota, Viridiplantae, Streptophyta, Magnoliopsida, Poales, Poaceae.
AAUAAACAAACCAUGGUUUUUGUGUUUAAUGUUUGACCGUCUGUCUUAUUUAAAAAAAUUAUGAAAAAAAAAUUAAAAGACAAGUCACGUAUAAAGUAUUAAUCAUAUUUUAUCAUCUAACAACAAUGAAAAUACUAAUUAUAAAAAAUUUCAUAUAAGACAGAUAGUCAAACGUUGGACACGAAAACCCAGGUUUUGUCUUCUU